Molecule: long non-coding RNA, 614 nt
Filed under: Rhinopithecus roxellana (golden snub-nosed monkey)
Lineage: Eukaryota; Metazoa; Chordata; Mammalia; Primates; Cercopithecidae
Description: lncRNA (ENSRROG00000045887.1)
Source: RNAcentral
CUUUUGUGUUUUGAUGCUUUAAGUUUUUAUUGUUGUUUUGCUUUGUUUUUAAUGCUUUACUGUGCUAAUUCCAUGAUGUAUAAAUCAUUUUAGGUCAUUUCUAAGAGAAGAAGUGUUAGUAGAUCAAGAAAGGGCUAUAGAACUAAGGAAGAAGGAUAGGAAGAACGGGAGGAGAAGUGAAGGAAAGGACAGAGAAACUUGGAGAACAAUGAACAGCAGAAGACAUCCUGGAGACCAAGAUGACAAAUGGUGUUAAGAAAAGAGCAGCUGUCUACCAGCAGGAGCCAGUACCUGGCAGUUGGAAUCAACACCAGCGACCAAACAAAUCUCUGGAAAGUUUUUCAUGGGAAAUCCAAGAAGCUACAUCUGAAGAAAAUAUUUUGUCUGUGACCAACAAGAAAAGGACAGUUUCUCUGGUUUCUACUUCUACCAACAUUCCAUUAGCGUCUAGCAACAUCUCUGGAGACACUUAAGGUUACAUGGAUCCCACAGGUGACAGAACAAACGUAGCCAUCCUUAAAGGUAAACCAAUUUACUCAGAAAUUUGUGGCCGUCUUGUCACUGAGAAGCAUUCAUGUAGAUAGCAAGUGGCCUCAUUGGUGUAUGUAUACGGG